UACGUAGGGGGCAAGCGUUGUCCGGAUUUAUUGGGCGUAAAGAGCGUGUAGGCGGUUAGGUAGGUCCGUUGUGAAAACUCGAGGCUCAACCUCGAGACGCCGAUGGAAACCAUCUGACUAGAGUCCGGAAGAGGAGAGUGGAAUUCCUGGUGUAGCGGUGAAAUGCGCAGAUAUCGAGAGGAACACCUGCGGCGAAGGCGGGUUGCUGGGCUGACACUGACGCUGAGGCGCGGAAAGCUAGGGGAGCGAACGGG
Molecule: ribosomal RNA, 254 nt
Filed under: uncultured bacterium
Lineage: Bacteria
Description: partial 16S ribosomal RNA
Rfam family: Bacterial small subunit ribosomal RNA
Source: RNAcentral